Solanum stenotomum is the source of this 1465-nucleotide long non-coding RNA. RefSeq lists it as uncharacterized. The record is from RefSeq and is a predicted model, not a curated record. Lineage: Eukaryota; Viridiplantae; Streptophyta; Magnoliopsida; Solanales; Solanaceae. The transcript is spliced from 5 exons.
UCAGUUUUUAGAUUUGUUCAUCAUUUAAAUUUUGCCGAAUUCUUCAUACGUUUUUCAUUCAUCUACUGUACAUAAAUCCUGGGUUUCAUUAAGGAAUCUAGAAGAGUAUAGAUGAAAGUUUCACUGAGCUGCAUGUCAAAUUGCUUAUUGAUUUCAUAAAUAUUCUUCUAUAUUUUCAAUCUUAGAUAGGGUCUUCAUCAGUUUUUAAGUUCUUCUGUCAAUUUUUGUUUAAUCUUCAUCUAUUUCUGUUAAAUUUUUGCUUAAUCUUCAUAAAAAAAAUUGUGUUUUUCACUUCUUCUGAUCGACUAUUCUACCCUGCAGAUCAAAUCUCUGAUUGAAUCUUCAUGAUCUACUCUAAUGGGUUUUCCAAUGUCGGUUGUUAAUAAAAUGUGGUCUCAGAGAUGAAAAUAUUCUUGUCUUCAUGUACGAUGACAUUGCUUACAAUGAAGAGAGCCCAAGACCGGGAGCUAUCAUUAAUAGUCCUGCUGGAGGAUGUUUACAAAGGACUUGCUAAGGUACCGAAAAGAUGGGAGUGGUGGUCCAAUUGAUCAUAUUUGCAUAUUCUAUAGUGAUCAUGGUGGCUCUGGGUUGCUUGUAAUAGGUAAUAUGUCUAGGUCAGCCAUUGCGUCACAAAAAUGGUGUUUUUAAUGGGCGAGAAGAUUUUGUCUUCCACAGAGACAUUACAGUGUAGAGACAAUAAGAAACUGUUAACUUUUCUAUGAUACCUACAAUUAGAAGAAGCUAGACAAAUGAGGCUUCGAGUACAUUGAUACAGGAUCAUAGUUUUUGACUAUAAGCCAGAGAGGAAAUAGUUGGAAGAAAGAGCAACAAAAGCCAAUGCAAAAACAAGAGUCAUUUAGAAGCUCCCGCUUUGGGAAUGGAGGUACUUCUAUUUUGAAGAGCUUCUUGGACUUUUAGUUAUUUUGAAUUUUUCAAAAUAUUACUACACUUCUGUGAAUAAGCCUUAAGUUCAGGUGUUUAUUGUAGUAUGAAUGAAAACUUGAAGCAGUAAUUUGGAUUUUCAUCUGACAAUGAAUAUGUGAACUCCCCUUAUGAGGACGUCCCUUUGUAAUUUGGGCUAAGCAAAUACCAAAUCCAACUACUAUUGAAAUGUCUGAGCCAUUCCAGAAAAUGAAUGUCAGCUUAUAACUGUUGAGUAUGCCUUCAAUAAUGUCUCUGUUUUGCAACUAUGGAGUUUAUAAUAAAGCUUAUAGCAGUUUUAGAUUUGUUGCUCGCUUUUUUUUUUUGCAAGUGCUCGUAUAUCUGUUAAGAGCAUAGUCAAUUGAGCAUAAGAGAAAUUCUAAUGAUGUAUGUAUUGUAGCAUUUGCAUUUCUGGAACUUUUAUGUAUUUAUAAAAAUAGUUUAGCAAUAUAGUAUCCCGUUGUUUUUAUUGUAUAGCAACAAUAUUUGUUCAUCAUUAAUCAAACUACAAUAGAAAGAAGUCAUAAUUGCUCUUUCAAAAUCA